This 468-nucleotide ribosomal RNA is filed under the name uncultured bacterium. Its description in RNAcentral is "partial 16S ribosomal RNA". It matches the Rfam family "Bacterial small subunit ribosomal RNA", at positions 28 to 507 of the family's 1533-position model. The record is from RNAcentral.
GACGAACGCUGGCGGCGUGCUUAACACAUGCAAGUCGAACGGAAAGGCCCUGCUUUUGUGGGGUGCUCGAGUGGCGAACGGGUGAGUAACACGUGAGUAACCUGCCCUUGACUUUGGGAUAACUUCAGUAAACUGGGGCUAAUACCGGAUAGGAGCUCCUGCUGCAUGGUGGGGGUUGGAAAGUUUCGGCGGUUGGGGAUGGACUCGCGGCUUAUCAGCUUGUUGGUGGGGUAGUGGCUUACCAAGGCUUUGACGGGUAGCCGGCCUGAGAGGGUGACCGGCCACAUUGGGACUGAGAUACGGCCCAGAAGCCUACGGGAGGCAGCAGUAGGGAAUAUUGCACAGUAGGCGGAAGCCGGAUGCAGCAACGCCGCGUGCGGGAUGAAGGCCUUCGGGGUGUAAACCGCUUUCGCCUGUGACGAGGCGGGAGUGACGGUAAUGGGUAAAGAAGCACCGGCUAACUACGUG